RNAcentral lists this ribosomal RNA (253 nucleotides) under uncultured Lachnospiraceae bacterium. Its description in RNAcentral is "partial 16S ribosomal RNA". It matches the Rfam family "Bacterial small subunit ribosomal RNA", at positions 524 to 776 of the family's 1533-position model. Lineage: Bacteria; Bacillati; Bacillota; Clostridia; Lachnospirales; Lachnospiraceae. The record is from RNAcentral.
UACGUAUGGAGCAAGCGUUAUCCGGAUUUACUGGGUGUAAAGGGAGAGUAGGUGGCAGAGCAAGUCCGAAGUGAAAACCCAAAGCUCAACUAUGGGAAUGCUUUAGAAACUGCUCAGCUAGAGUGCAGGAGAGGCAAGUGGAAUUCUUAGUGUAGCGGUGAAAUGCAUAGAUAUCACGAAGAACUCCGAUUGCGAAGGCAGCAUACCGGCGCCCAACUGACGCUGAAGCACGAAAGCGUGGGUAUCGAACAGG